AUUGAACGCUGGCGGCAUGCCUUACACAUGCAAGUCGAACGGCAGCACGGGAGCAAUCCUGGUGGCGAGUGGCGAACGGGUGAGUAAUACAUCGGAACGUGCCCAGUAGUGGGGGAUAACCCGGCGAAAGCCGGACUAAUACCGCAUACGACCUACGGGUGAAAGCAGGGGAUCGCAAGACCUUGCGCUAUCGGAGCGGCCGAUGUCAGAUUAGCUAGUUGGNGGGGUAAAAGCCCACCAAGGCGACGAUCUGUAGCUGGUCUGAGAGGACGACCAGCCACACUGGGACUGAGACACGGCCCAGACUCCUACGGGAGGCAGCAGUGGGGAAUUUUGGACAAUGGGCGCAAGCCUGAUCCAGCCAUGCCGCGUGCGGGAAGAAGGCCU
Molecule: ribosomal RNA, 387 nt
Filed under: uncultured bacterium
Lineage: Bacteria
Description: bacterial SSU rRNA
Rfam family: Bacterial small subunit ribosomal RNA
Source: RNAcentral